ACCACUUCACUUCUUACUCCUCUCAACCUCUUCUGCAUACCUGAAUCAGUCACUGUCCCUUCUGCAACCCUAUCUACUCUUCGACCCACUGUCCCCGCCCAUCCGUCGAGCCACUAUUACCGUCCAUCCGUCGAGCUCGGCCGCCGUCCGUCCGUGUUGCCACUGCCCCUAAGUCUCCAACCGCUAUUCUCUUCUUCCGCGAGCUCGGCCUAUCCCAUACUCUCUGCAUCUUCUCGCCGUCGUUCUUAUGUUCUCGCCAUCGUCUGGUCGGCGUUGUCUUCGAAGGUCCCAUUGGUUUUGUUUGGUGGCUCUCGAAAGUAUACUUCUGCUUUGUAUGUUGCAACAGUGAAAGCUAAUUCAGUCGAAAAGGUUGAGUAUGAGAUUCUUCAGUUUGUUGAGGAAGUUAAGAACAACAUUAUAGUUUCCUAGUUCAUAAGUGACUUGUAUGUGAAGAAAGAUCAUAAGACUUUGCUUGAUGACAUUUCAAGUAAUGCUUUAAAUUUAGAAGAUAUUUUAAAGUUUA
Arachis ipaensis is the source of this 523-nucleotide long non-coding RNA. RefSeq lists it as uncharacterized. The record is from RefSeq and is a predicted model, not a curated record. Lineage: Eukaryota; Viridiplantae; Streptophyta; Magnoliopsida; Fabales; Fabaceae.